CAGCCGCCGCGGUAAUACGUAGGGUGCGAGCGUUGUCCGGAAUUAUUGGGCGUAAAGAGCUUGUAGGCGGUCUGUCGCGUCUGCUGUGAAAACCCGAGGCUCAACCUCGGGCCUGCAGUGGGUACGGGCAGACUAGAGUGCGGUAGGGGAGAACGGAACUCCUGGUGUAGCGGUGGAAUGCGCAGAUAUCAGGAAGAACACCGAUGGCGAAGGCAGUUCUCUGGGCCGUAACUGACGCUGAGAAGCGAAAGCGUGGGGAGCGAACAGGAUUAGAUACCCGCGUAGUCCCUGUCUCUUAUAC
Molecule: ribosomal RNA, 301 nt
Filed under: uncultured bacterium
Lineage: Bacteria
Description: partial 16S ribosomal RNA
Rfam family: Bacterial small subunit ribosomal RNA
Source: RNAcentral